AGAGAUGUGUGAUGACGCAUAUCAAUAAGCGGAGGAAAAGAAACUAACAAGGAUUCCCUUAGUAACGGCGAGUGAAGCGGGAAGAGCUCAAAUUUGAAAUCUUCAAGGUUCUACCUUGACGAAUUGUAGUUUAUAGAAGUGUUUUCUGUUAGUGGAGUGGCAAAAGUUCUUUGGAAUAGGACAUCAUAGAGGGUGAGAAUCCCGUAUUUGGUCAUUCCUCCUAGCGUUGUGAUACACUUUCAACGAGUCGGAUUGUUUGGGAAUGCAGUCCAAAAUGGGUGGUAAAUUUCAUCUAAAGCUAAAUAUUGGCGAGAGACCGAUAGCGAACAAGUACCGUGAGGGAAAGAUGAAAAGAACUUUGAAAAGAGAGUUAAACAGUACGUGAAAUUGUCAAAAGGGAAGCGUUUGACACCAGUGUUGUUUUCUCGAAAAUCAAUUAAAAAAGGCCGGAUUUUGUGUUGUAUUGACCUUAAAAGCUUUCUUCACUCUUUUCUUGUCUUUUUUAAUGCACUUUUCGUUUAACAAGUCAACAUCAGUUUCUUUUGUUGUAAAAGGGUCAUUGGAAGGUGGCCUUCUUUUCGGAGAAAGUGCUUAUAGCCUUUGAUCUCUGCAACCGGAGAGACUGAGGUCUGCAGCGUAGACUCUUCGGGGUUAGAUACAUUUGUGCUAAGCUAUAGCCUUGUAUAGACAACUUGUUGACUAUGCUCAGUCAUGUAGCUUACUCGCUUAUGCUAUUUUACCUACGCUUAGGAUGUUGAAGAUGUAGCACAUCAU
RNAcentral lists this ribosomal RNA (774 nucleotides) under uncultured Neocallimastigales. RNAcentral describes it as "partial large subunit ribosomal RNA". It matches the Rfam family "Eukaryotic large subunit ribosomal RNA", at positions 23 to 635 of the family's 3401-position model. Lineage: Eukaryota; Fungi; Neocallimastigomycota; Neocallimastigomycetes; Neocallimastigales. The record is from RNAcentral.